This 328-nucleotide ribosomal RNA is filed under the name uncultured eukaryote. RNAcentral describes it as "partial 18S ribosomal RNA". It matches the Rfam family "Eukaryotic small subunit ribosomal RNA", at positions 1470 to 1796 of the family's 1831-position model. The record is from RNAcentral.
CCCUUAGAUGUCCUGGGCCGCACGCGCGUUACACUGAUGCAUUCAACGAGCUUAUAACCUUGGCCGAGAGGCCUGGGCAAUCUUGUUAACGUGCAUCGUGAUAGGGAUAGAUUAUUGAAAUUAUUAAUCUUGAACGAGGAAUUCCUAGUAAACGCAGAUCAUCAAUCUGCAUUGAUUACGUCCCUGCCCUUUGUACACACCGCCCGUCGCACCUACCGAUUGGAUGGUCCGGUGAAGCCUCGGGAUUGUGGUUCUAGCCGCUUUAUUGUGGCGUGACCGCGAGAACUUGUCUAAACCUUAUCAUCUAGAGGAAGGUGAAGUCGUAACA